Molecule: long non-coding RNA, 1464 nt
Organism: Mustela erminea (ermine)
Lineage: Eukaryota; Metazoa; Chordata; Mammalia; Carnivora; Mustelidae
Exons: 3
Source: RefSeq, a predicted model, not a curated record
GCUGGGCAGUCCCAGAAGCUCAGACGUCGCGGCCAUCAGCACGUCCUGCAUUUUAGCGGAUUUUGACUAGCGGGGCGCGGCAUUUCUUGGCGGUAGCAAGUCUGGAGCGGUCGAGGCCGCGAUUUCCGAGCUUGCGGAGGAACACCGGAUUCUGCUGGCAGGAAUACCAUAACCACAGGACAGCACCGGUUAGCAUGUCUGCAAUUUCUUUCCUUGGCUUCACUCUGACCAGUCUUGGUUUGGGCACCAGUCCUAGUGCCUGCUAAACAGUUUCUCCUGCUCAGGACCCCAGCGUUCUCUGUGACAUCUCUUUCUCAGUCCCAGCACAGCUGCUCUUCCUGAGCUGGCCUGUCCAUCGUUGAGUGACCACAGGUGAGGCCAGUGGGUUUGGAACGUCCUCUUCUUGUCUUUAAUAUCAUAUAUUUUCUUUGUUGGGUUAGUUUCUGUACAUUAUGCUUGUUUUUCCAUUUCAUUUUGGUUUGUUUUCUUUCUGCUUUGUUUUGGUAACGGGAGGAGGACCUCGGGCUUGGGUUCUGGGUGUCCUCUACAAUGGUAUCCUGUUUCAUUUUUGUCUACUGAUUUGUUACUACCGGGUGCCAUGACUUCUACCUUGCCUCCACCAACAAGCCCAGGAGAGCACUAAUACCCAGGCUGUGGCACUGCUGCAGGCUUUGCCAGCCUCAUCUGUGCAACCUCAUCUUCCCUGUCAGAGGCCUCUUCCACGACGGAGCAGCAUGUUCUUGGCCAUGUGAAAGGUGCUGAGGUGCCACUGGAGCCCCAGCCUCCAUCUGUGCUGUGCUCAGAAGAUUCUGGGCUUCACCUGCUCCCUUUCUAUUCUAUGCUGGGAUAGAGUCCCAGGCCGCAGUGAUGGUUUGGAUUUGGGACUGCUUUCCAGUCUUGCUGGUGGCUUCAAGGGGGUCUACCGGCAAAAUGAAGUCUGUCUAGAGCCCAGAGCAACUUGGAACCAAAGCCUGUUCUGCCCUCUGCGAGCCUCUGGUUCAGGACACAGAUGAACCCAGAGGCAUUUGCAGGAGAGAUGGACCCUGGAGAGGCACCUAAGCCACUCACCCACCAGCAGCUUCCCUCCACCAGGAUGCCCCUCCUGGCCACACACCGCUGGAUGGGGACACCUGACAGUGGAGCAUCCCCCGGAACAGAAGCACCACAGACCUCCCCUCCCUACCUGCGGGAGGCACAUCCAGGUGUUCUCAGGCUGCCUGGAGGGGGUCCCUUACACCCCGCACAGCCUGUGUUACAGCUGCUGCCCCUCCCUGCAUCUUUGGGUCUAAGGAGUCCUGAGAUUGGGGCAGGAGCCUUUUUCUAUCUUCCUUCAGGAAGAGAUUGUCAUCUGUGACUCCUGAAUAAAAACGUAUUAAGAUGUGGCUUCAGAGUUCAAUGUCCAGUUCUGCUUCUCGGGUGAAGUUUCUCCUUUUUCUUACUGGUCGCUGACUACACUUAGGUUUU